Molecule: long non-coding RNA, 600 nt
Organism: Pogoniulus pusillus (Red-fronted tinkerbird)
Lineage: Eukaryota; Metazoa; Chordata; Aves; Piciformes; Lybiidae
Exons: 3
Source: RefSeq, a predicted model, not a curated record
CCAUCACCACCCCGAUGGAGUCCCAAACUGAUAACUUCUUCAUCUUCCUCCUCCUCCUCAGCAAAGAAUAAUAACUUGGUAAUAAAGAGCCCAAGGAGCAGACCUUCACCAUCACCACCCCUGAUGGAGUCCCAAACUGAUGACUUCUUCAUCUUCCUCCUCCUCCUCAGCAAAGAAUAAUAACUUAGUAAUAAAGAGCCCAAGGAGCAGACCUUCACCAUCACCACCCCUGAUGGAGCCGAUGCCAAGUGCAGCUGUCUGAGGCUUGGUUCUGUGUGUGAGAGGUUCCUUACAGCAGCAAUUUGGGAAGUUGGUGUCUACCCCAGGACUGCAGGGAGCAGCAGCGCUGGGCUGCAGCGGAGCUCGCCCCGAGGAGGAGAAGAGGCUCUGCUUGGCUUCCUCCUGCGCCUGCCGGGAGCUGUGCGAGUGAGAGGGGCAGAGAGGGAGCAGUGCUCGCUGCACGCAGCUUGGGCCGUCGGAAGGGGAAGAUUCACUCCACCAAAAUCCAUCUCCUUCUGCUCACUCAGGGAAGAUCCAGAACACCAAAAUCCAUCUCCUUCUACUCACUUACAGAAGGUUCAGCACACCAAAAUCCAUCUC